ACGACUCCCAAGCAGUUCUGGCAGUCAACAGGAAACAAAAAUCACAGCCUACGUACUAAGAUUUUAAACUGCACCAUAGAAUUGAUUCCACUCCCAGCUUUUUGAGGUAGAAAUCUCAUUUCAUACUAGAUCACCCUUUGCACAACAGACUUCUCUCUUUCCAGGGCUUCUGGAAACUAUGGUAUUUCUUCUCUCACCCUUUCAGUUUCAGGAGAAAGGGAUGGGAACCUAUCAUUAUGAGAUGUCCCUGUUCUGACCCUGCAUAGUCCUGUGCUAGACCCUUUUUUUGCAGUAUUAACCAGAUAUUGAUUUAUACCUCCAGUCAAAGAUUUUGUCUGGUGCACCCAGACUCUGCUGAAAAACUCAGCAUGCUAUGGGGAACGUGUCUGAGAUGACUGAAGUUGUAUUUGCUUUUAACCUCCAUUCAGCACCUACGCUGUUUUUUUGUUUGUUUGUUUGUUUGCUUGUUUUAAGAAAAAGGUGAAAACAGACAAGCAGAUAUGGUCCAGACAGAUAUGUUUCCAUGGUCAUUUUAAAACGUCCUGAACAUCCCAAUCGCUCCACCCUGCCCCAGGGUUUGGAACGUGGGUGCAAACCCCCAAAUUCCCAGGCUUUCUCCAGUGCCAUUUCUGCCAAAUCUCAUCUUAAUUCAGGGUGAAAACAGACUCAGAGCUGUGCCUGUAGAGGUCUAUCUCAAGGCUUUGGCAAUUGUGGACCAGAAAAAGCUACUGCUUCCUCAGGAGGAGGCCCCUGGUAGUGAAGAAUGAUCCAUCGGGGUCUGAUGAAAGGGAGGAAUCACAGGCACAGAGGGGAGGGACCUCGGUGCCUGGCAGUGAUACUGCAGCAGGACUCAAGCACAGCCUGAUCAGCCAGGCACAAGGAAGGUGUGGGUGCAUAAAGGCCUGGUAUUUGCUCCCCAGUGCCUAUAGCUCCACGUAGCAUUUCUCCAUGGGGGUAAUGCAGACCUGCCGUACACAGCAUGUGGAGACGAAACACCAGCGUGGCCAACCCUCCCUCCUGCAGCUACCUCAUUUUGUUCUUCCGAGGGUUUAUGCUGAUACCUGCAGACAAAGGGCUGAUGGGGUUCAAAGUGCUGGUCCCUGUCCUCCUAACCAGGAACCAGAGCUCGUGUAUUCAUUGCUUCUUUGAGCUCCUGCUGCUGACAACCUACUUCCUCGUCGCUAGAUGCAAGACCGACCGAUGAGGCUGGGAUGACUCAAACACCCUUCCAGAUACCCCCCAGCAACUUCCCACAACAGGGGAUCUUUCCUGACAACGUGCUGCUUGGUCUCCUUUUGCUCACCAUCACUGCCCGGGUUAUUGGCUUUGCUGCUGUGCGAAGUGACAGCACUCACUGCGGCCCUUCCCUUUGUGUCCGCAGCUAGUAACUGGAGCCCUCGGCAAACAGAAGUGCUAAGCGUGAUCUGUCAUCUAACUCCUUUUUUGUCCUUCCAACAAAUGCCUUUGCAUUCCUUCAUUUUGUCAAUGGGGUUUGGCAGAGCUGUAUAGAAUUCCCCAUUGUUUCCAUUUGCACUUCAGUAAGUGUCCAUCAUUGCUACUUAUGCCCCCAACAAACUGGCAGAGAAAGAGAGAGAAAGAAAUAAAAUCUCUAUUUAGAAAUUUCAUACAACUCGUUAUUGCAAGACCUGGGCGUCCCCUAGUCUUUAACGCAACCUAACGUGAUGUUUUGAAGCAUGGCAGUUUUAUCCCUGCAGCCCAAAGCAGAAAGGGGAUGAAGCUGGGGCUCUGCUAGAGUGGCACAUCGAGGUGGCAGCAGAGGGGGACCUGGGCACAGGACCUCAGCCAUGACGCUGCCCUUCCCUCCUGGGACACAGCUCCAAGAGCCUGUGCUGCUGCCUCCUCUUCGCCCCAAGGUACCAGCCCACCUGUACCGCUUGCCCAGUAUUGCCCUAAUUUGUCCCAAAUCACCUGCCCUGCCUGCAGGGCCAUCAUCUCCCCUUGAAACAGGAGCUGGCUGGCUCCAUCCCUUCCAGGGCUGCCCUGCCACUCGGUCCAUCCUCCCCAGGGGCACCAGGCGGGUGCUGUACCACCAUGCAGGGCCUUCCUCACCCAGCGGGUGGGCCAGGCAGCCCCAAAGCAGCAUUAGAGCCACCACCCAGGGCUGUAGCAGCAAGCAGGGCGAGCUGAGGCUCAGGAACAGGAGACCAGCCUCUCCUGGGCCAGCAUGCAGCGCCGGGGCUGGAAGGAGCUGGGGUGGUGCAGAUGCAGCUAAAGGGCACGAGCGCUACGGGCUGGACACAUUCAAUGAAUGGCAGAGUGCAAAAUCUUCCGUGGUAUCGGGGAGCCUGUGCUCACUGAAAAUGCAUCAAUAGAAACGAUCAGGAAGAACAUUUUAAGUUUGCAAAGCCCGUAAAGGUUUGUAUUCUCCUGGUUUUACAGCCUUUGGCUGCUUGGGCCAGAAGGCUUCGGUUCCCUCACCGUGCUCUGCAGCUGCUUCCCCUCCACUGGUGAGCCAGCCCUGCCGUUCCCAUCCAGGGGUGUCCCGCAGUCCGGCACCUUCCCAGCCACCAGCCCCGCUCCAGAGGAUGCCGCAGGGGUGCUGGGACACGUGGGGACCCAGUGCCCCGAGGGACGGCACCAGGAGGUUCCCGUUAGGGGCUGCCUUCAGGAGCACCAUGCUCAGGACCCCGAGGCAGGCUCUGCGGCACCAGGGUGGGCUGGUAAGCAGCUCCUGGCUCCCAGGACCCUCACCGAGACUACGGGCUUCAAGAGGAACACCCAGCUGUGGGGACGGCGGGAUGCACACACAGCUCCGCCGGGCAAGUGGGAGCCCAGCACCGAAAAGCCCAUCGGGAGAUAAUGCGAAGGGCAGCAAGCGACCUCUGCCGAGGAGGGAACGGAUCAGCAGUACGCUGGCAAGGUAUUUAACCCUGAGCAGAUCCUGGGAACAAAAGGCGCACAUAUUGAACCACCAGAAGAGACCACAGCGCAGAUUUCCUUGGCACCUCGCAAGGCGUUAGCCUGGGGUACAGAGAUACGAGGGCAGAUCCAGCCCUGCUGCGAGCACGCAGCCCUGCCGGGCGCCCCUUUCCUCGCCCCGGCCUCAGCGGGGUCCGACGUGCCUUGGGGCUCGAGCAAGAUCCCCCUGUCCCCUCUUGCAGCAUGACUGCAGAUAACUUCACCGCCGUGCUCCCAAGGUAGUGUGAAGGGACCUCGCCUCGUGCCAAGUGUCUCCCCAGCACCCGGCCCUGCCCCUCGCCUCGCAGUGCUGCUCCGGGUGCCCCAGAGCAGUCCUCGUCCCCCUGCUCCCCUCUCCUCCCGUCGACUUCUCCAUUUGUGACACAGCCAUGCUUGCACGCUCCCAAGCAGGCACGGGGCUCCAGAGAGCACCCAGUGUUUAAUAGGUGCAGCUGGGGGACAGUGCAGUCACCAGCAUUUCCAGAGACACCACAGCCACGUCCGGGUAAAAAAGCCCCAAAGCCCUGAAAUUUGGUCCUUGUGAGCGUACAAACACGCACGAACUUCCCGAGGAGAGCUGGUUGCAGGCUCUGGGAGCGGUUCGCACCUCACCACAUAACUUUACACACACAGACACACGCAUGCAGGGCAGGCGUGUGCUGAGCCUACAAAGGAAACUGCACAUUCAUCCCCGUCCAGCUCCGGCACCGCGCUAACGGGGCGGCUGUGGGGAGUGGGGUGACCCUCGGGGGGCACGCUGGGAAGGGGGGGGGUUCCCCCAAAUCCCCCUGCCCCAUUUCCGUCCUUUCCCCCCAUCUCACAGCCCGUCCCGGUCUGGCAGAAGCACAGGGAUCCUGUACACAACUUUUUCAAACUGCCAGGCAGAAGAAUCCCAGUCCUUCCAAGGGAGUGUCGGUAAAUCAUCAUUACAUCCGACAACGCAACCAGAGGGCUUAACCCUUUGCUAGUCCCCAGGAAAAUAACAACAACAACAAACUUAACAAUGAAAAUCCUCAAAGCUGGCCCCGGCUGCGUGAGAAAGAGGACAGGCAGGGUGUGGACCGCAAUUUUUCAUGUCUCUAUAUGUACAGAGAUAGAAAGAUAUCUUUGUGUGUGCGUACACGAAGCACACGAACAUGCCACCACGCACCCGCCUGCCUCCCUGGACGUGCCUCCCAGCCCUCCCCAUGGCUCUCCCACUUUUCGGAGGACUGCGGUGGCGAUCUCCAGUGCAGAUGUGCCUCCCACCCCCUCAAAGAUCUCUCCUCUGGACUUAGAGAGAAGAGGAAAAGGCAGAUUUUCAGAAAUGAAAAUUAUUUAAGGAUGUCCCUGCUGCCUCUCUCUGCUGCCCUCCUCUGUAGUACUGAAGCACUUACAAAAAAUAAUACAAAGUAAAUAAAUAAAAAAUUGAAACUUCGGCUGGAAGAGCUGCAGGGGAGUAACCCAAGACCCCUUCCAGGCUGUGCAGAGCAAGAGCGGGUGACUCCGUGGAGGAAGGCCCAGCUCUGGGGGAGGCUGCUGAUGGAGAUGGCUGCUUGGCCAUGCUCACCUGCCCGGCCACGAACCCUCUGCCCAAAGCAGCUCCAGCCCAGUGCACAGGGACGGCAAUGGACCCGCAGUAUGAGGGACACUUUUCCAGAAGCGUGCAGCCACGUUACGUGCCCAAACACUUGCUGGAAGCUCCUGUGCACAGGCAGACCUGUCGCAGCGCUCUGAAGUCCCAGGAGCUCAGACAACCCACCCAGACCAGCUCUGAGGACUGGGACUUGAGGGACAAAAGGAACACUAAAGGCUUUUGUCUCUUGACCGGUGCUGCGGGGAUGCCAUGUCUGGCAAAGAGUGAUCUUUCUGUGCUUUCUGGCUAUGCCAUAUCACAUUGGGCUGCCCAGCUGGCUGAGAGGAUACCUGAGGCUUUUACAGGACAGAGUCUCACUGGGAUGCAUUUCACGAGCUGCUGGAGAACCUUCCUGGAGUAGCUGUUCUAGAGCAGGCAGCGUAUCCACCUUCCUAAUGUGGCUUAGGAGGAAUUAAAUCACCAAACUCGUUCUUCAUCAAAUAUAAGUUGACAGAGUGCCAUGACUGCAACUGGACAUCCUCCAUUCACCAUGUAGAACCAGGAGCACAUCUGUAUAUAUUUGCAAACAGAAAUAAAUACACAAAUACUGCAAACACUCAUUAACAUCCUCUCCAUGCCUUGAGGAGAAAAUAAGUCACGGGGGAGUGAAUGUCAGUAAAGUAACUCUGACUUUACAUUGCAAAGCACAGCAGAGAUAAACACAGUAAGUUCCAAUUCACUGCACUGUCUCAGUCCAAAUGGGGCAACUUCUGCCACUUUCUAAUGGCAAAUGGGCAGAGAUUUGCACGAGCAGCUUCAAACAAAAUCCAGCAUUUCCACUGCUCAAUUACAGCAACAGAACUUCAAAGAAUUUCAGUGAGUUCAGCUGAAAUUUAUGUUUGCGUAGCAGCACAGCGAAUUUGGCCCUUAUAUAUUUUAGAAACAUAGCCAAGGGAGUAGGUUCUCCUUUGCUCUACGCAGUAGCAUCACAAUAGAGGGGCUGUUGUGGAGACCCAGUCGAGGAAUUUUUAAGCCUGUUCCCCAUCGGCCAAUUCCCCAAAGUCUCUGGGACUGAAGAAGUCUUGUGACUGACAAGGGUUACAUCGGGGUCAAGUUUUACACUCCAAAAACGAAGGGAGAAUCACUGUUUACUCUCUAGUUUCUCAGAAAACACUCAAAUCCCUCUUCAUAUGGAACAUCUCAUUUGCAUGUCAUCAGCAAACUUUUCCACUGGCAAGCCUGCCAUGCUUCAACAUUUUCUUCAUCCACAAACAAAACGUAUGUUUUAUCAGAGUCAUUUUGCUUCACGGGCAGCUUCAACACCUGCCUUUCUUCUCUUACACUGUUUUUCUCAGGGAUUUCUUUAUUAUGAGUUCACAUUAAACUAUUUCUUGUUUAGAUUUAAAAGGAUAAGUUUUAAUCUCAGUGUAUCUUGAGAUGCUUUUCUCCAAGCUGCUCCGACUGUGGCUCCUUUCCCACCAAAUCCCACAUUUAGCUUUCAAGCCAGACCAAAAUUCACUGCAAGACUCGCAUUAAUCAGCAGAAUGGAAUAAGAGGGACUAGUGAGUGUUUUGCAUCUCCAAUGUCCCUAGUAGGCAACAACACUUUGUUAAAUCUCCUACAGGGCUGUGCCCCAGGUGGAAAGCCCUGCUGCCAAGCGGCUGGCGUGUCCUUGGGCACUGACCAAUGGACAUGGGCAGAGUGGCUCUCACCUUUGCCUUGCUCAGAGCAACAGGCACAACACACCCAAGCAAACGCACGAUGAACAGGUCAUCGGUCCUAAAAGCGCUUUGAUGUCCCUAGCACGCCUUUCAUCAUAGCAUCCUAAAAGCGCUUCGCAAUUAUUGUGAGUCGUAACUCAUCACCACCCACAUGGUUUUCCCUCCUUCACCAGCUGGAUAUACAGAAAAGCCCCAGCUACUUAAGGGGAUGACUUUUAAGGGUAUGACUUAAGGGGAAGAAUCCAGGGCUCCUGCUCCAUCCACCAUGCCCCGAGGCCACGGAACUUCCCCGUAACACCACUGCGCCCAGUAAGCACUGCGAAACACACAUGGGUCCUACGCACAUGGUCAGCAAGGAGACCUCGUGGAGAAGACACACAGCUUCUCUGUACUCUUCACCGCUUCAUCGUGAGCUUUUUUUUUUUUUUUUUUUCCCCAACAUGCUGCUAUUAAACACCAGGAACAAACUAGUUUCUGUAUAAAACUUUCCCCAAAGUAUUUAGAAGAUGGCAAGAAAUGCCAAGCUUUCUAUUUUCCUCCUUCUUUAAAGGAGAAAUAACG
This is a long non-coding RNA of Cygnus olor (mute swan), 6756 nucleotides long. RefSeq lists it as uncharacterized. The record is from RefSeq and is a predicted model, not a curated record. Lineage: Eukaryota; Metazoa; Chordata; Aves; Anseriformes; Anatidae. The transcript has 5 exons.